GUGAGUGUAGCUCAACGGUUAGAGCAUCGGACUGUGGAUCCGAAGGUUGGGGGUUCGAUUCCCCUCACUCACC
This 73-nucleotide transfer RNA is filed under the name Acidobacteriota bacterium. RNAcentral describes it as "tRNA-His". It matches the Rfam family "tRNA". From Rfam's summary of the family: Transfer RNA (tRNA) molecules are approximately 80 nucleotides in length. Their secondary structure includes four short double-helical elements and three loops (D, anti-codon, and T loops). Lineage: Bacteria; Pseudomonadati; Acidobacteriota. The record is from RNAcentral. RNAcentral also lists the same sequence under 3 other names.